This 480-nucleotide ribosomal RNA is filed under the name uncultured bacterium. Its description in RNAcentral is "partial 16S ribosomal RNA". It matches the Rfam family "Bacterial small subunit ribosomal RNA", at positions 30 to 507 of the family's 1533-position model. The record is from RNAcentral.
AUUGAACGCUGGCGGCAGGCUUAACACAUGCAAGUCGAACGAUGAGUCUCUAGCUUGCUAGAGAUGAUUAGUGGCGGACGGGUGAGUAACAUUUAGGAAUCUACCUAGUAGUGGGGGAUAGCUCGGGGAAACUCGAAUUAAUACCGCAUACGACCUACGGGUGAAAGGGGGCGCAAGCUCUUGCUAUUAGAUGAGCCUAAAUCAGAUUAGCUAGUUGGUGGGGUAAAGGCCCACCAAGGCGACGAUCUGUAACUGGUCUGAGAGGAUGAUCAGUCACACCGGAACUGAGACACGGUCCGGACUCCUACGGGAGGCAGCAGUGGGGAAUAUUGGACAAUGGGGGCAACCCUGAUCCAGCCAUGCCGCGUGUGUGAAGAAGGCCUUUUGGUUGUAAAGCACUUUAAGCAGGGAGGAGAGGCUAAUGGUUAAUACCCAUUAGAUUAGACGUUACCUGCAGAAUAAGCACCGGCUAACUCUGUG